Molecule: long non-coding RNA, 1434 nt
Filed under: Capra hircus (goat)
Lineage: Eukaryota; Metazoa; Chordata; Mammalia; Artiodactyla; Bovidae
Description: lncRNA (ENSCHIG00010028288.1)
Source: RNAcentral
AGAGUUGGACAUGACUGAGCGACUGAAAUGAACUGAACUGAACUGAAGGAAACAUGUCCAGAAAAACUAUUUGUCAGACAUCAGUCCUUCUCAAGGUUGAAUGUGUAUAGAAACCAUUUUGGGGAUCUUGUUAAAAUGCAUAUGGUGAAUCUUCAGGUUUGCAGCAGGGCCUGAGAGUUUUUGCAUGUCCUGAAAGCUCCCAAGUGCAGAGGAUGCUGUUGGCCUGAUGCAUAGUUCGAAUAGUAAUGGUCUUAGGUAACUGCUAUUUCUAGUUACUGGCACAACUGCCUCCUUUCUGUAUCUGAUUUUAUGCCAGAGCAACAAUUUCAUAACAUUUGUGAGCUUUCAGUUACAUGUGAAGAGAAAAUCGUAGGAUGGAAAUGACCAAUAGCAGAUAGUCUACGUAGAAUCUCCAUUCAGUACUCGUUUCAGGUAUUUUCUUAGUUUGACCUUCCAAGGAUUUAAAAUAUUUGAGAAAGGGCUUACGACUCUCAAACUUUUCGUUGUUAAAAAGACUUUUAAAUACAGAAGGUGAAAUUUCUUCUGGCAUGCAAGGACGUCCCAUUGACUGACCAAGCAUUCUCAGUCCUUUGUUUAUGUUAAAACCUUCAUCAAAUUAGAGCACACCUGCAGUUCUGAACAGAGACACUAAGCAGAAGACUAGCCAAUCUAUGCUUCAGUUAAAAGUAAAGAAAUUUUAAAUGGUAGAGGAACAGUUAGAUAAAAGGAACGCAGCACAAUGGUUUAUAGAACUGAUGGGGCUUCAUAUGUGUGAAAAUUAAUGAAAAUCAUUAUAUUGUCACUAAUGAAAGAUUUGAAUGUCCCAAGUAGGUUCUUUGACUCAGGUUUUGUUGCUGUGGUUUUGGUAACGUUUUCUGUGCUUGGGGUUUAUUGAGCUGGAAAAUUUUUGACCAGUCUUUCUUCAUAUACUUCUCUGACCAUGUCUCUCCUUUGAGGUCUCCCAAGUACACAUGUAUUAGGCUACUGCAAUUUGUCCCAUAGCUUAAUGAUGUUCUGUUCUUUUAAAAAAUUUUUUUCUUUAUUUCAUCAAACUUGUUUUCAAGUUUAAUAAUUUUUUUUGGGUGGCAAUGUUUAAUCACCAUUAAUCCUGUUCAGUGUGAUCUUAAUCUCAGAAUCGUAGUUUCCCAAAGCAUGAAGACUAAAGUACCUUGUUUACCCAGAGGAGAUCUCUCCAGAUUGUGCUAAAGUACUCUGUCUUAUUGAAGAGUUUUAUUGGCAACAUGGAUGAAGUCAAGAAGAGCAAGCUUAUUAAAUGUUUAGCUGACACAGAAUGAGGAGAUUGCACUGAGUCAGCUGACAGGAAGAAGUUUCACAGAGACCGAGACAGGUUAGAAUGAUGAACUGAAAUGAACAAGAUGAAAUAUAGACUCCAUCGUUAAGUUUCAAGCAGUUAGAUGCACCAAAUAAGGGAAG